This is an RNA transcript of Cebus imitator (Panamanian white-faced capuchin), 2588 nucleotides long. It is a transcript of the gene named poly(A) polymerase alpha-like, with no coding region annotated. The transcript has a single exon. The record is from RefSeq and is a predicted model, not a curated record. NCBI's taxonomy places the organism in Eukaryota, Metazoa, Chordata, Mammalia, Primates, Cebidae.
CGGGGGUGCCGGCGCAGAGACGAUGCUGUUUCCAGUUACAACACAGAGAACACAACACACACAACCGCCACAGAAGCACUAUGGCAUCACUUCUAUCAGCUUAGCAGCCCUCAAGGAGACUGACUGCAUACUUACACAGAAACUCAUUGAGACACUGAAACCCUUCGGGGUUUUUGAAGAGGAAGAGUAACUGCAGCGCAGGAUUUUAAUUUGGGGAAAACUAAAUAACCUGGUAAAAGAGUGGAUAUGAGAAAUCAGUGAAAGCAAGAAUCUUCCACAAUCUGUAAUUGAAAAUGUAGGAGGAAAAAUUUUUACAUUUGGAUCUUACAGGUUAGGCGUACAUACAAAAGGUGCUGAUAUUGAUGCGUUGUGUGUUGCACCAAGACAUGUUGAUCGAAGUGACUUUUUCACCUCAUUCUAUGAUAAGUUGAAAUUACAGGAAGAAGUAAAAGAUUUAAGAGCUGUUGAAGAGGCAUUCUUACCAGUUAUUAAACUCUGUUUUGUUGGGAUAGAGAUUGAUAUUUUGUUUGCAAGAUUAGCACUGCAGACAAUUCCAGAAGAUUUGGACCUACAAGAUGACAGUCUGCUUAAAAAUUUAGAUGUAAGAUGUAUAAGAAGCCUUAACGGUUGCAGGGUAACCCAUGAAAUUUUACAUCUAGUACCAAACAUUGACAACUUCAGGUUAACUCUGAGAGCUAUCAAACUAUGGGCCAAAUGCCACAACAUCUAUUCCAAUAUAUUAGGUUUCCUCGGUGGUGUUUCCUGGACUAUGCUAGUAGCAAGAACUUGCCAGCUUUAUCCAAAUGCAAUAGCAUCAACACUUGUACAUAAAUUUUUCUUGGUAUUUUCUAAAUGAGAAUGGCCAAAUCCCAUGCUAUUGAAACAGCCUGAAGAAUGCAAUCUUAAUUUGCCUGUAUGAGACCCAAGGGUAAACCCCAGUGAUAGGUACCAUCUUAUGCCUAUAAUUACACCAGCAUACCCGCAACAGAACUCCACGUAGAAUGUGUUCGUUUCAACACGGAUGGUCAUGGUUGAAGAGUUUAAGCAAGGUCUUGCUAUCACAGAUGGAAUUUUGCUGAGUAAGGCAGAGUGGUCCAAACUUUUUGAAGCUCCAAACUUUUUUCAAAAGUACAAGCAUUAUAUUGUGCUUCUAGCAAGUGCACCAAUAGAAAAACAACGCCUAGAAUGGGUGGGCUUGGUGGAAUAAAAAAUCCGAAUCCUAGUUGGAAGCUUGGAGAAGAAUGAAUUUAUUACCCUGGCUCAUGUGAAUCCCCAGUCAUUUCCAGGACCCAAAGAAAAUCCUGAUAAGGAAGAAUUUCGCACAAUGUUGGUGAUUGCGUUAGUGUUUAAAAAAACAGAAAACUCUGAAAACCUCAGUGUUGAUCUCACCUAUGAUAUUCAGUCUUUCACAGAUACAGUUUAUAGGCAAGCAAUAAACAGUAAGAUGUUUGAGGUGGAUAUGAAAAUUGCUGCAAUGCAUGUAAAAAGCAAGCAACUCCAUCAACUACUACCUAAUCAUGUGCUUCAGAAAAACAAAAAGCAUUCAACAGAAGGUGUCAAAUUGACAGCUCUCAAUGACAGCAGCCUUGACUUGUCUAUGGACAGUGAUAACAGCAUGUCUGUGCCUUCACCUACUCGGUGCUACGAAGACCAGUCCAUUGAACAGCUCUGGCAGCUCUCAGGGCAGAAACAGUCCUGCUCCAGCUGUAACAGCAGCAUCUGUGACCAACAUACAGGCUACUGAAGUUUCUGUGCCACUAGUAAAUUCCAGUGAAAGCUCAGGGGGUACAUCGAGUGAAAGCAUCCCUCAAACUGCCACACAACCAGCAAUUUCUCCACCACCAAAGCCUACGGUCUCCAGAGUUGUUUCUUCAACACGUCUGGUAAACCCACCACCUAGAUCUUCAGGAAAUGCAGCAACAAAAAUACCUACUCCUAUAGUAGGAGUCAAGAGGACAUCCUCACCUCAUAAAGAAGAGAGUCCCAAGAACACCAAAACCGAAGAGGACGAAACAAGUGAAGAUGCUAACUGUCUUGCUUCGAGUGGACAUGCUAAAACAGAAGCAAGGGAACAACUUGAUACAGAGACAAGUACAACUCAAUCAGAAACCAUUCAGACAGCAGCUUCUGUGUUGGCCUCUCAGAAAACAUCCAGUACAGACCUUUCUGAUAUCCCUGCUCUCCCUGCAAAUCCUAUUCCUCUUAUCAAGAAUUCAGUAAAACUGAGAUUGAAUCGGUAAAAACAACCUCAGGGGUCCAUAAACAAUAUCUGCCAACUCAACCUGUUCUCUUCAAAUGCUAAAAAAGGAGAAUGGAGGGUACAAGACAAGACAUGACUGAAAUGGAUUUGGGUUUUUUUGGUGACCUCCCUUACUGGGCUAAUCAGCACUUGAUCGGAAGUCCAGGUUACUAUGUGAAGCCAGGAGUGCUAUUAUUACUAUGUUAGCAACAGUUGCAUUAACUAUUUCAAAAAUUACUGCCUUUAAAAAAACUUCAAGCUAUAUUUGUAUCCAUAAUUGACAUCUGGAUUGGGUUUAUGUUUGAUGCAAUGUUUGGAAAAUUUGCAAUACAAACUGGCAUAAAAAUUA